Molecule: ribosomal RNA, 525 nt
Filed under: Acidovorax sp. STEP_sed_347
Lineage: Bacteria; Pseudomonadati; Pseudomonadota; Betaproteobacteria; Burkholderiales; Comamonadaceae
Description: bacterial SSU rRNA
Rfam family: Bacterial small subunit ribosomal RNA
Source: RNAcentral
GGCAUGCCUUAACAUGCAAGUCGAACGGUAACAGGUCUUCGGAUGCUGACGAGUGGCGAACGGGUGAGUAAUACAUCGGAACGUGCCCGAUCGUGGGGGAUAACGAAGCGAAAGCUUUGCUAAUACCGCAUAAGAUCUACGGAUGAAAGCAGGGGACCGCAAGGCCUUGCGCGAACGGAGCGGCCGAUGGCAGAUUAGGUAGUUGGUGGGAUAAAAGCUUACCAAGCCGACGAUCUGUAGCUGGUCUGAGAGGACGACCAGCCACACUGGGACUGAGACACGGCCCANACUCCUACGGGAGGCAGCANUGGGGAAUUUUGGACAAUGGGCGAAAGCCUGAUCCAGCCAUGCCGCGUGCAGGAUGAAGGCCUUCGGGUUGUAAACUGCUUUUGUACGGAACNAAAAGACUCUGGUUAAUACCUGGGGUCCAUGACNGUACCGUAAGAAUAAGCACCGGCUAACUACNUGCCAACNNCCGCGGUAAUACAUAUGGUGCAAGCGUUAAUCGNAAUUACUGGGCGUAAA